Molecule: ribosomal RNA, 406 nt
Filed under: uncultured bacterium
Lineage: Bacteria
Description: partial 16S ribosomal RNA
Rfam family: Bacterial small subunit ribosomal RNA
Source: RNAcentral
AUUGAACGCUGGCGGCAGGCUUAACACAUGCAAGUCGAACGAGUGGCGGACGGGUGAGUAAUAUAUGGGGAUCUGCCUGCUGGCGGGGGAUAACUACUGGAAACGGUAGCUAAUACCGCAUACCACCAGAUGAACCCUUAUUGGAUUAGCUAGUAGGUGUGGUAACGGCUCACCUAGGCGACCAUCCCUAGCUGGUCUGAGAGGAGGACCAGCCAACAUGGGACGGAGACACGGCCCAGACUCCUACGGGAGGCAGCAGUGGGGAAUAUUGUACAAUGGGGGCAAGCCUGAUGAGGCCAUGCCGGGUGUAUGAAGAAGGCCUUCGAGUUGUAAAGUACUUUCAGUAGGGAGGCGUUACCGACAGAAGAAGCACCGGCUAACUCCGUGCCAGCAGCCGCGGUAAUUC